UAACUGUGAGUAUAUGUUACAUGUACUAAGUAUGAAUGACCUCAUAUGUUGACAUUGGAUAAAAAAAAGCAAUGUGUGUGUCUGUGUGUGUUUGUGUAGGACCAGACUGUAGGGGUCUGCCUGGCCUAGCUGGUCCUGUGGAGUUCCUUCUUCAUCCCAUGCAGACUGUCUCGGACACAAGCUGCCACCCCAACCCCCCUAUUUAGGACCCCUUUCCCCCACAACCCCCCCCCCCCUCCAUUCUGCGAUCGGGCACCCAUUUGGCUCCAUUGUCUGGGGUGUCCGCACACAUCUGUCAUGCAUGGGCAACAUUGGCACUGACAGAUCAGCUAUUGUCCCCUCAGCCGAGGGGAGGACGCAGCCACAGUUUGGGGUAUGCAGCAAGGAGAAGCAGAGACGGUGUCACGUCUGGUGCUGUAGGCGCUUCUGUUCCUUCCACUCUGAGCUCCAACGGAGGUUUGCAGUUAGACAACUACACUACCCAGAACGCACCACACGCUGACAUCACACACACCUACUCACGUGACACCUCACCUGCUUCCGCCAGGAAGCCCGGAGUACUGAUUACCCCAGAGUAUUUAAGGACACUUCACGAACACACACUGGUUUCUACCACAUUACAAAGCGUUACCUUCUCUGUGAUUGUUUUUCUGUGUAUGACCUUGCUUUUGUUUUUUCGACGCCGAUUUCUGCCUGUACCUCUGAUUGUGGAUUUACUGUGUUUGACCUGGACUGUUUAACGUUCCCGAUUUUUGGAUUAUCUCUGAUGCUGGCUUCCUCGUGUAUGAACUCUGGACUGUUUCCCGUUUAUGGUAUGGUUUAUUCUCUGAGGCUUCUCUUUACCGGUGCUCUACUUUGUUUUUGUAUCACUACUCUUUAUCUGC
Molecule: long non-coding RNA, 884 nt
Organism: Astyanax mexicanus (Mexican tetra)
Lineage: Eukaryota; Metazoa; Chordata; Actinopteri; Characiformes; Acestrorhamphidae
Exons: 2
Source: RefSeq, a predicted model, not a curated record